RNAcentral lists this transfer RNA (74 nucleotides) under Clostridium sp. Its description in RNAcentral is "tRNA-Pro". It matches the Rfam family "tRNA". Rfam says of the family: Transfer RNA (tRNA) molecules are approximately 80 nucleotides in length. Lineage: Bacteria; Bacillati; Bacillota; Clostridia; Eubacteriales; Clostridiaceae. RNAcentral also lists the same sequence under 2 other names. The record is from RNAcentral.
CUGGAUGUGGCUCAGCUUGGUAGAGCGCUACAUUAGGGAUGUAGAGGUCGCAAGUUCAAAUCUUGUCAUCCAGA